Molecule: ribosomal RNA, 307 nt
Filed under: uncultured Anaeroplasmataceae bacterium
Lineage: Bacteria; Bacillati; Mycoplasmatota; Mollicutes; Anaeroplasmatales; Anaeroplasmataceae
Description: partial 16S ribosomal RNA
Source: RNAcentral
GGAGUAUGGGCCGUGUCUCAGUCCCAUUGUGGCCGUUCACCCUCUCAGGUCGGCUAAACAUCCUCGCCUUGGUGGGCUGUUAUCUCACCAACUAGCUAAUGUUCCGCAGGUCCAUCUAAAAGUGCCGCAAACGCGACUUUCAAGCGGAAGCGAUGCCGCUCCCGUUGUUAUCCGGUAUUAGCCAAAGUUUCCUCUGGGUAUCCCAGUCUUAAAGGCAGGUUACCUACGUGUUACUCACCCGUUCGCCGCUAGGUAGCAAGCUACCUCGCACGACUUGCAUGUAUUAGGCACGCCGCCAGCGUUCAUC